RNAcentral lists this ribosomal RNA (254 nucleotides) under uncultured bacterium. RNAcentral's name for it is "partial 16S ribosomal RNA". It matches the Rfam family "Bacterial small subunit ribosomal RNA", at positions 524 to 776 of the family's 1533-position model. The record is from RNAcentral.
GACGAACCGUGCGAACGUUAUUCGGAAUCACUGGGCUUAAAGCGCGUGUAGGUGGGUCGCCACGUCGGCUGCUGAAAUCCCUUGGCUCAACCAAGGAACGGGCACCGAUACGAGCGACCUGGAGGGGGGUAGGGGGAGCUGGAACUUCCGGUGGAGCGGUGAAAUGCGUUGAGAUCGGAAGGAACGCCCGUGGCGAAAGCGAGCUCCUGGACCUUUUCUGACACUGAGACGCGAAAGCUAGGGGAGCGAACGGG